Molecule: transfer-messenger RNA, 365 nt
Filed under: Terriglobales
Lineage: Bacteria; Pseudomonadati; Acidobacteriota; Terriglobia
Also listed under: 1 other name
Description: JAIQFD01 sp020073495 Standard tmRNA
Rfam family: transfer-messenger RNA
About the family: Bacterial tmRNA, also known as 10Sa RNA or SsrA, is named for its dual tRNA and mRNA-like properties. Its role is to liberate the mRNA from a stalled ribosome. To accomplish this part of the tmRNA is used as a reading frame that ends in a translation stop signal.
Source: RNAcentral
GGGGGCGUCACGGCUUCGACGGAAGAGCUUGCGGCUGAGAGGCAUGCCGGGGUGCACACACCCGAAAUCGCGUGCAAAACAACAAUUGCCAACACUGAACUGGCAUACGCUGCUUAAUUAGUUAAGUAGCCGUCCUCCGCGGCUUCGUCCGCGGGCUGCGGAAGGGCGUCGCACAGCGGGCUGGCUCUGAGUCCUACGUCUGGGGGCUUGGGGCGAGACUUUCAGGCUAGCCAAUCGCGUUUCUUGUCCGUUUCUGAGCGCGAGAGGCGAAUGUUUCCGGCAACGGAAGCGGGAACGGACUAAGCAUGUAGGCUCUUUGCCAGUGACCCUUUCGGACGCGGGUUCAACUCCCGCCGCCUCCACCA